UGGGGAAUAUUGGACAAUGGGGGGAACCCUGAUCCAGCCAUGCCGCGUGUGUGAAGAAGGUCUUCGGAUUGUAAAGCACUUUAAGUUGGGAGGAAGGGCAGUAAGCGAAUACCUUGCUGUUUUGACGUUACCGACAGAAUAAGCACCGGCUAACUCUGUGCCAGCAGCCGCGGUAAUACAGAGGGUGCAAGCGUUAAUCGGAAUUACUGGGCGUAAAGCGCGCGUAGGUGGUUCGUUAAGUUGAAUGUGAAAGCCCCGGGCUCAACCUGGGAACUGCAUCCAAAACUGGCGAGCUAGAGUAGGGCAGAGGGUGGUGGAAUGUCCUGUGUAGCGGUGAAAUGCGUAGAUAUAGGAAGGAACACCAGUGGCGAAGGCGACCACCUGGGCUCAUACUGACACUGAGGUGCGAAAGCGUGGGGAGCAAACAGG
Molecule: ribosomal RNA, 429 nt
Filed under: Pseudomonadota bacterium
Lineage: Bacteria; Pseudomonadati; Pseudomonadota
Description: Proteobacteria bacterium partial 16S ribosomal RNA
Rfam family: Bacterial small subunit ribosomal RNA
Source: RNAcentral